ACAGGUGGUCCUCGCGGCCGCCCCGGACGAGCGCGUCGUACCCGGUCACGACAAGACGGCGCAGU
RNAcentral lists this non-coding RNA (65 nucleotides) under Streptomyces sp. Lineage: Bacteria; Bacillati; Actinomycetota; Actinomycetes; Kitasatosporales; Streptomycetaceae. The record is from RNAcentral.